GAGCAUGAGAGGGUCCUGGAACUGUUAACGAUGGCUGGGGUUUCUACUUCUUGCUUAACUCUCUCUUCCAGAAGGUAAUACCCUCUUCUUUCCUUUUGAUAUUGUUCGCCAUUUUAAGAAACGUUUCAAACGUGACUGUCUUUUCUUUUCUUUCUUUUUUUCCCUUCCGAUUCUUUGUGGUUUCUGAGAAAGUGAAUUUUUCAUUCUUUAAGAAAAUUGUUAUCAAAAUUAGGUAAUAAAUGGGAAAAUGUGAAAUAUGAGUUCAUACCGAAAAUGGGUUGGUUUAUUUUGAUUGCGUUGUUAUUUGCUAUAAAUAUAUGGGCACAUGUCAGAGAAAUGUGUUAUGAUUCAUAGUUAUUAAAGGCUCAAGUCUUGGAGCCUCUUCGCCUUGCGCCUGGGCUAGA
This 404-nucleotide unclassified non-coding RNA is filed under the name Hevea brasiliensis (rubber tree). Lineage: Eukaryota; Viridiplantae; Streptophyta; Magnoliopsida; Malpighiales; Euphorbiaceae. The record is from RNAcentral.